Molecule: non-coding RNA, 268 nt
Organism: Xenopus laevis (African clawed frog)
Lineage: Eukaryota; Metazoa; Chordata; Amphibia; Anura; Pipidae
Source: Rfam
UGGCUUUCAUUAGAGGUGACCAGUUGACAUAAGGUAAAGUCUACAUUGUGCAGCCCCUAUUGUGUGCGAGGGUUGGCCUCAUUAACCAGCGCUAACAAGCCGUGCAAAUGCUCUGAUUGGGCAGCUUUUAUUGGACAGUGCCAGGCCCUUAGCAGGAUACCCACUUAAUGAGGGUCAGCGCUAGACAAUCGUAACGUAUUCAAGGGGACUUUUUUUACCCCCUAUGCAACGAUGAAGUUGCAGCGAUUUGACCAUUAAAAACAAAUCG